GGGAACUUGGUGUAUAUUGGUAGUCAGCACAACUGGUUGUGGCCCAGUUAGGAACGGUUCAAUUCCGUUAGUUCCCUC
Molecule: transfer RNA, 78 nt
Filed under: Ignavibacteriaceae bacterium
Lineage: Bacteria; Pseudomonadati; Ignavibacteriota; Ignavibacteria; Ignavibacteriales; Ignavibacteriaceae
Description: tRNA-His
Rfam family: tRNA
About the family: Transfer RNA (tRNA) molecules are approximately 80 nucleotides in length. Their secondary structure includes four short double-helical elements and three loops (D, anti-codon, and T loops). Further hydrogen bonds mediate the characteristic L-shaped molecular structure. tRNAs have two regions of fundamental functional importance: the anti-codon, which is responsible for specific mRNA codon recognition, and the 3' end, to which the tRNAs corresponding amino acid is attached (by aminoacyl-tRNA synthetases). tRNAs cope with the degeneracy of the genetic code in two manners: having more than one tRNA (with a specific anti-codon) for a particular amino acid; and 'wobble' base-pairing, i.e. permitting non-standard base-pairing at the 3rd anti-codon position.
Source: RNAcentral